Molecule: ribosomal RNA, 449 nt
Filed under: uncultured bacterium
Lineage: Bacteria
Description: partial 16S ribosomal RNA
Rfam family: Bacterial small subunit ribosomal RNA
Source: RNAcentral
UCCAGACUCCUACGGGAGGCAGCAGUGGGGGAUAUUGCACAAUGGGGGGAACCCUGAUGCAGCGACGCCGCGUGGGUGAAGGAGCGUUUCGGCGCGUAAAGCCCUAUCGGCAGGGAAGAAGGAGGACGGUACCUGACUAAGAAGCCCCGGCUAACUACGUGCCAGCAGCCGCGGUAAUACGUAGGGGGCAAGCGUUAUCCGGAUUUACUGGGUGUAAAGGGGGCGCAGACGGCAGCGCAAGCCAGGAGUGAAAGCCCGGGGCCCAACCCCGGGACUGCUCUUGGAACUGCGCGGCUGGAGUGCAGGAGGGGCAGGCGGAAUUCCUGGUGUAGCGGUGAAAUGCGUAGAUAUCAGGAGGAACACCGGUGGCGAAGGCGGCCUGCUGGACUGCGACUGACGUUGAGGCCCGAAAGCGUGGGGAGCAAACAGGAUUAGAUACCCCAGUACGA